Molecule: transfer RNA, 69 nt
Filed under: Ochotona dauurica (Daurian Pika)
Lineage: Eukaryota; Metazoa; Chordata; Mammalia; Lagomorpha; Ochotonidae
Also listed under: 1 other name
Description: tRNA-Glu
Rfam family: tRNA
About the family: Transfer RNA (tRNA) molecules are approximately 80 nucleotides in length.
Source: RNAcentral
GUUUUUGUAGUUGAACUACAACGGUGGUUUUUCAUAUCACUGGUCAUGGUUUGAGUCCAUGCAAGAAUU